This 151-nucleotide ribosomal RNA is filed under the name Teuthowenia megalops. Its description in RNAcentral is "partial small subunit ribosomal RNA". The record is from RNAcentral. Lineage: Eukaryota; Metazoa; Mollusca; Cephalopoda; Oegopsida; Cranchiidae.
GCCUCCCUUCGUUCCCGGGCCUCACGGUUCGCGGUCUUGUCGGGGCUAAAGGUCGGCGCGCUCCGCUUUGGUGACUCUGGAUAACUCACUGGUCGAUCGCACGGGCUUCCACGCCCGGCGACGGGACCCUCGAGGGUCCGCCCUAUCAACU